GAAAAAGUGGCUCCUUUAUCUCAGCUUCUCUGCGAGCUCCGGCGAAGUCUGGAUCCCAAAUCUAGCAGUUUUUCGCUAUUUGAAGGAAUAAAAGCGAUCGUUUUGAGGAUCAAAGCAUGGUAAAGUGAUUUGAUUAUUGAAGAAUUGGUUUUCAUUUAACAGUGGAGGAGUAUUUUGAUUCGGUUGAUAUCGUCUUUUCAGUCUGCACUCUUCAAUUUUCAUUCGUUU
This 228-nucleotide unclassified non-coding RNA is filed under the name Hevea brasiliensis (rubber tree). The record is from RNAcentral. Lineage: Eukaryota; Viridiplantae; Streptophyta; Magnoliopsida; Malpighiales; Euphorbiaceae.